AUGAGAAUUCACAAUAGAAUAAAAAAUGGCUAUUGACAGUUGAAAAGAAAAAGGAAUGAAAAUUGAAAAUGGCUCAGGAAAAUGGUGUUUCGUGGAAAAUGAGCGUCUGGCGGGAUUCACUGAGAAGAGGGGUAUAAAAGGCUGCGAGCAUAAGAAAAGCCAAAGUUAAGAAUAAGACGUUACCGGUGAAACUUAGCUAGAGAGCAGUGAAGAAGUGGAAAAAUUUAAUUUGUGUGUUGCGAUUUUUUUAUUGUGAAUAUUCCGGUGGUGUAUCAAGCUUUUUUGGAAGCACCGAAAAUUGUCCGGUUUUGGUCAGCACAACGGCGGGAAAUUGCCUUUUCUUUUUGGUAACGCAAGGUAGUGGCAAGUUGUCCACAGGAGAAAAAAGCCAAAAAAAGUUACAUUGAGGGUGUGGAGAUUUGAAUUGUAAACUGGCCAGCUGCAACUUUGAGCUUUUUGCUGUGCCUGUUAUUGAUCCCGCCCAGAACGCCGGCAUUGUAAAAGGACCAGUCAACAAGUCCAGCUUCAUUUCAGGGUUUGCCUGGCGUUCAAAAUCUGUUUCCUCCGGAAAGAAGCGUAAACUGGAAGAAGAGAUAAGAAGAAUUAAUCAAUAACGUUAUAAAUCACUGCUCAG
This is a long non-coding RNA of Musca domestica (house fly), 634 nucleotides long. RefSeq lists it as uncharacterized. Lineage: Eukaryota; Metazoa; Arthropoda; Insecta; Diptera; Muscidae. The transcript is spliced from 2 exons. The record is from RefSeq and is a predicted model, not a curated record.